UGGAUCCAGACUUUGAUCAUGGCUCAGGAUGAACGCUAGCUACAGGCUUAACACACGCAAGUCGAGGGGAAACGAUAUUGGAAGCUUGCUUCCGAUAGGCGUCGACCGGCGCACGGGUGAGUAACGCGUAUCCAACCUGCCCACCACUUGGGGAUAACCUUGCGAAAGUAAGGCUAAUACCCAAUGACGUCUCUAGAAGACAUCUGAAAGAGAUUAAAGAUUUAUCGGUGAUGGAUGGGGAUGCGUCUGAUUAGCUUGUUGGCGGGGUAACGGCCCACCAAGGCGACGAUCAGUAGGGGUUCUGAGAGGAAGGUCCCCCACAUUGGAACUGAGACACGGUCCAAACUCCUACGGGAGGCAGCAGUGAGGAAUAUUGGUCAAUGGACGAGAGUCUGAACCAGCCAAGUAGCGUGCAGGAAGACGGCCCUAUGGGUUGUAAACUGCUUUUAUAAGGGAAUAAAGUUAGUCUCGUGAGACUUUUUGCAUGUACCUUAUGAAUAAGGACCGGCUAAUUCCGUGCCAGCAGCCGUGGUAAUACGGAAGGUCCGGGCGUUAUCCGGAUUUAUUGGGUUUAAAGGGAGCGUAGGCCGGAGAUUAAGCGUGUUGUGAAAUGUAGAUGCUCAACAUCUGAACUGCAGCGCGAACUGGUUUCCUUGAGUACGCACAAAGUGGGCGGAAUUCGUGGUGUAGCGGUGAAAUGCUUAGAUAUCACGAAGAACUCCGAUUGCGAAGGCAGCUCACUGGAGCGCAACUGACGCUGAAGCUCGAAAGUGCGGGUAUCGAACAGGAUUAGAUACCCUGGUAGUCCGCACGGUAAACGAUGGAUGCCCGCUGUUGGUCUGAAUAGGUCAGCGGCCAAGCGAAAGCAUUAAGCAUCCCACCUGGGGAGUACGCCGGCAACGGUGCAACUCAAAUGAAUUGACGGA
This 926-nucleotide ribosomal RNA is filed under the name uncultured Bacteroidota bacterium. RNAcentral describes it as "bacterial SSU rRNA". It matches the Rfam family "Bacterial small subunit ribosomal RNA", at positions 1 to 917 of the family's 1533-position model. The record is from RNAcentral. Lineage: Bacteria; Pseudomonadati; Bacteroidota.